RNAcentral lists this ribosomal RNA (2141 nucleotides) under Escherichia coli. RNAcentral describes it as "partial 23S ribosomal RNA". It matches the Rfam family "Bacterial large subunit ribosomal RNA", at positions 757 to 2873 of the family's 2925-position model. Lineage: Bacteria; Pseudomonadati; Pseudomonadota; Gammaproteobacteria; Enterobacterales; Enterobacteriaceae. The record is from RNAcentral.
UAACACUAACUGGAGGACCGAACCGACUAAUGUUGAAAAAUUAGCGGAUGACUUGUGGCUGGGGGUGAAAGGCCAAUCAAACCGGGAGAUAGCUGGUUCUCCCCGAAAGCUAUUUAGGUAGCGCCUCGUGAAUUCAUCUCCGGGGGUAGAGCACUGUUUCGGCAAGGGGGUCAUCCCGACUUACCAACCCGAUGCAAACUGCGAAUACCGGAGAAUGUUAUCACGGGAGACACACGGCGGGUGCUAACGUCCGUCGUGAAGAGGGAAACAACCCAGACCGCCAGCUAAGGUCCCAAAGUCAUGGUUAAGUGGGAAACGAUGUGGGAAGGCCCAGACAGCCAGGAUGUUGGCUUAGAAGCAGCCAUCAUUUAAAGAAAGCGUAAUAGCUCACUGGUCGAGUCGGCCUGCGCGGAAGAUGUAACGGGGCUAAACCAUGCACCGAAGCUGCGGCAGCGACGCUUAUGCGUUGUUGGGUAGGGGAGCGUUCUGUAAGCCUGUGAAGGUGGCCUGUGAGGGUUGCUGGAGGUAUCAGAAGUGCGAAUGCUGACAUAAGUAACGAUAAAGCGGGUGAAAAGCCCGCUCGCCGGAAGACCAAGGGUUCCUGUCCAACGUUAAUCGGGGCAGGGUGAGUCGACCCCUAAGGCGAGGCCGAAAGGCGUAGUCGAUGGGAAACAGGUUAAUAUUCCUGUACUUGGUGUUACUGCGAAGGGGGGACGGAGAAGGCUAUGUUGGCCGGGCGACGGUUGUCCCGGUUUAAGCGUGUAGGCUGGUUUUCCAGGCAAAUCCGGAAAAUCAAGGCUGAGGCGUGAUGACGAGGCACUACGGUGCUGAAGCGACAAAUGCCCUGCUUCCAGGAAAAGCCUCUAAGCAUCAGGUAACAUUAAAUCGUACCCCAAACCGACACAGGUGGUCAGGUAGAGAAUACCAAGGCGCUUGAGAGAACUCGGGUGAAGGAACUAGGCAAAAUGGUGCCGUAACUUCGGGAGAAGGCACGCUGAUAUGUAGGUGAAGCGACUUGCUCGUGGAGCUGAAAUCAGUCGAAGAUACCAGCUGGCUGCAACUGUUUAUUAAAAACACAGCACUGUGCAAACACGAAAGUGGACGUAUACGGUGUGACGCCUGCCCGGUGCCGGAAGGUUAAUUGAUGGGGUUAGCGGUAACGCGAAGCUCUUGAUCGAAGCCCCGGUAAACGGCGGCCGUAACUAUAACGGUCCUAAGGUAGCGAAAUUCCUUGUCGGGUAAGUUCCGACCUGCACGAAUGGCGUAAUGAUGGCCAGGCUGUCUCCACCCGAGACUCAGUGAAAUUGAACUCGCUGUGAAGAUGCAGUGUACCCGCGGCAAGACGGAAAGACCCCGUGAACCUUUACUAUAGCUUGACACUGAACAUUGAGCCUUGAUGUGUAGGAUAGGUGGGAGGCUUUGAAGUGUGGACGCCAGUCUGCAUGGAGCCGACCUUGAAAUACCACCCUUUAAUGUUUGAUGUUCUAACGUGGGCCCCUUACCGGGGUUGCGGACAGUGUCUGGUGGGUAGUUUGACUGGGGCGGUCUCCUCCUAAAGAGUAACGGAGGAGCACGAAGGUUGGCUAAUCCUGGUCGGACAUCAGGAGGUUAGUGCAAUGGCAUAAGCCAGCUUGACUGCGAGCGUGACGGCGCGAGCAGGUGCGAAAGCAGGUCAUAGUGAUCCGGUGGUUCUGAAUGGAAGGGCCAUCGCUCAACGGAUAAAAGGUACUCCGGGGAUAACAGGCUGAUACCGCCCAAGAGUUCAUAUCGACGGCGGUGUUUGGCACCUCGAUGUCGGCUCAUCACAUCCUGGGGCUGAAGUAGGUCCCAAGGGUAUGGCUGUUCGCCAUUUAAAGUGGUACGCGAGCUGGGUUUAGAACGUCGUGAGACAGUUCGGUCCCUAUCUGCCGUGGGCGCUGGAGAACUGAGGGGGGCUGCUCCUAGUACGAGAGGACCGGAGUGGACGCAUCACUGGUGUUCGGGUUGUCAUGCCAAUGGCACUGCCCGGUAGCUAAAUGCGGAAGAGAUAAGUGCUGAAAGCAUCUAAGCACGAAACUUGCCCCGAGAUGAGUUCUCCCUGACUCCUUGAGAGUCCUGAAGGAACGUUGAAGACGACGACGUUGAUAGGCCGGGUGUGUAAG